UACGUGGGGUGCAAGCGUUAUCCGGAUUUACUGGGCGUAAAGCGUACCGUCGGCGGUUGUGUGUGUCUUUUGUUCAAGACUGGGGCCUAACUCCAGAACAGCAGGGGAAACUACACGACUAGAGUUUGUUCGGGGAACUUGGAAUUCUCGGUGGAGGGGUGAAAUCCGUAGAUAUCGAGAGGAACACCAUACGCGAAGGCAGGGUUCUAGGACAUAACUGACGCUCAGGGACGACAGCUUGGGGAGCAAACGGG
Molecule: ribosomal RNA, 254 nt
Filed under: uncultured prokaryote
Description: partial 16S ribosomal RNA
Rfam family: Bacterial small subunit ribosomal RNA
Source: RNAcentral